RNAcentral lists this ribosomal RNA (539 nucleotides) under uncultured bacterium. RNAcentral describes it as "bacterial SSU rRNA". It matches the Rfam family "Bacterial small subunit ribosomal RNA", at positions 9 to 526 of the family's 1533-position model. The record is from RNAcentral.
GAGUUUGAUCCUGGCUCAGGACGAACGCUGGCGGCGUGCCUAACACAUGCAAGUCGAACGGAGUUAAAUUCGACACCCGAGUAUCCGGCCGGGAGGCGGGGUGCUGGGGGUUGGAUUUAACUUAGUGGCGGACGGGUGAGUAACGCGUGAGUAACCUGCCUUUCAGAGGGGGAUAACGUUCUGAAAAGAACGCUAAUACCGCAUAACAUCAAUUUAUCGCAUGAUAGGUUGAUCAAAGGAGCAAUCCGCUGGAAGAUGGACUCGCGUCCGAUUAGCCAGUUGGCGGGGUAACGGCCCACCAAAGCGACGAUCGGUAGCCGGACUGAGAGGUUGAACGGCCACAUUGGGACUGAGACACGGCCCAGACUCCUACGGGAGGCAGCAGUGGGGGAUAUUGCACAAUGGGGGAAACCCUGAUGCAGCAACGCCGCGUGAGGGAAGAAGGUUUUCGGAUUGUAAACCUCUGUUCUUAGUGACGAUAAUGACGGUAGCUAAGGAGAAAGCUCCGGCUAACUACGUGCCAGCCGCCGCGGUAAUAC